CCAGACUCCUACGGGAGGCAGCAGUGAGGAAUAUUGGUCAAUGGGCGGGAGCCUGAACCAGCCAAGUCGCGUGAGGGAUGACGGCCCUAUGGGUUGUAAACCUCUUUUGCCGGGGAGCAAAGUGCCGCACGUGUGCGGUUUGGAGAGUACCCGGAGAAAAAGCAUCGGCUAACUCCGUGCCAGCAGCCGCGGUAAUACGUAGGGGGCGAGCGUUAUCCGGAUUCACUGGGUGUAAAGGGAGCGUAGACGGCCAUGCAAGCCAGGGGUGAAAGCCCGGGGCCCAACCCCAGGACUGCCCUUGGAACUGCAUGGCUGGAGUGCGGGAGGGGCAGGCGGAAUUCCUGGUGUAACGGUGAAAUGCGUAGAUAUCAGGAGGAACACCGGCGGCGAAGGCGGCCUGCUGGACCGCGACUGACGUUGAGGCUCGAAAGCGUGGGGAGCGAACAGGAUUAGAUACCCGGGUA
Molecule: ribosomal RNA, 464 nt
Filed under: uncultured bacterium
Lineage: Bacteria
Description: bacterial SSU rRNA
Rfam family: Bacterial small subunit ribosomal RNA
Source: RNAcentral